Non-coding RNA from Candidatus Schekmanbacteria bacterium RBG_13_48_7, 46 nucleotides. Lineage: Bacteria; Candidatus Schekmaniibacteriota. The record is from Rfam.
CCCAGUACUAAAGUACUGGGCUACUAUCAAUUGUCCCUUCGGGACA